Molecule: long non-coding RNA, 424 nt
Organism: Oenanthe melanoleuca
Lineage: Eukaryota; Metazoa; Chordata; Aves; Passeriformes; Muscicapidae
Exons: 3
Source: RefSeq, a predicted model, not a curated record
CUCCAGGUGCCGUUCCCUUGCUGUGGGUCCUGCCAAGGCUGUCGAGAAAAAUCUUGGCACAGUGCCCUCCAAACUUCUUCACUGUUCAGGGCCAGUGGAGCCCAGGCCCGUCAGUAGGAAUGGCAACCAAAGAAUGCUCCACACCCCUGGGAGCUGCUGGAAUUCCUCCUGUGCCCUUGGAGCUCAGCCCAAUCUCCUGAGGAGAGGGAGGGAGGGAGCCCCUCUCUGUCCUGGAAACUGCAGCAAGGACACCCACACUGGCAGCUGCCUGCCCCGCUGCAGUGCUGGUUCACAGGUUUCAGGAUGGACCAUCAAGGCACUGCACCUUCCCUUGAACCAUCCACUCCAGAACCAGGAAUCCUCCUGCAGUCACUCCACAGAAUCAAAGGCACUCUCGGUGUCCUUUCCACACACGAAGCAUCCC